GGCUGUGGCGUAGUGGUUUGAGUGUUGUACUGUGAAUCUGGAGACCAGGGUUCAAUUACCUGUUUGGCCA
Non-coding RNA from Phrynosoma platyrhinos (Desert horned lizard), 70 nucleotides. The record is from the annotation of a GenBank genome assembly. Lineage: Eukaryota; Metazoa; Chordata; Lepidosauria; Squamata; Phrynosomatidae.